Non-coding RNA from Rhipicephalus sanguineus (brown dog tick), 74 nucleotides. Lineage: Eukaryota; Metazoa; Arthropoda; Arachnida; Ixodida; Ixodidae. The record is from the annotation of a RefSeq genome assembly.
UCCUGGUUAGUUCAGUUGGUAGAGCCACAGCCCCGGCAAGGCGUUGGUUCCGGGUUCGAUCCCCGGACCAGGAC